GUGUCAGCCGCCGCGGUAAUACGGAGGGUGCUAGCGUUGUUCGGAAUUACUGGGCGUAAAGCGAGUGCAGGCGGUUUGGCAAGUCAGGUGUGAAAGCCCGGGGCUCAACCCCGGAAGUGCAUUUGAAACUGCCUUACUUGAGUAUGGGAGAGGAGAGUGGAAUUCCCAGUGUAGAGGUGAAAUUCGUAGAUAUUGGGAGGAACACCCGUGGCGAAGGCGGCUCUCUGGACCAAUACUGACGCUGAGACUCGAAAGCGUGGGGAGCAAACAGGAUUAGAAACCCGCGUAGUCC
This 292-nucleotide ribosomal RNA is filed under the name uncultured bacterium. Its description in RNAcentral is "partial 16S ribosomal RNA". It matches the Rfam family "Bacterial small subunit ribosomal RNA", at positions 505 to 796 of the family's 1533-position model. The record is from RNAcentral.